GACGAACGCUGGCGGCGUGCUUAACACAUGCAAGUCGAGCGGUAAGGCCCUUUCGGGGGUACACGAGCGGCGAACGGGUGAGUAACACGUGGGUGACCUGCCCUUAGCUCUGGGAUAAGCCUGGGAAACUGGGUCUAAUACCGGAUAUGACUCCAUGACGCAUGUUGUGGGGUGGAAAGCCUUGUGCGGCUAGGGAUGGGCCCGCGGCCUAUCAGCUUGUUGGUGGGGUGAUGGCCUACCAAGGCGACGACGGGUAGCCGGCCUGAGAGGGCGACCGGCCACACUGGGACUGAGACACGGCCCAGACUCCUACGGGAGGCAGCAGUGGGGAAUCUUGCGCAAUGGGCGAAGCCUGACGCAGCGACGCCGCGUGAGGGAUGACGGCCU
RNAcentral lists this ribosomal RNA (387 nucleotides) under uncultured bacterium. RNAcentral's name for it is "bacterial SSU rRNA". It matches the Rfam family "Bacterial small subunit ribosomal RNA", at positions 28 to 417 of the family's 1533-position model. The record is from RNAcentral.